This 1273-nucleotide long non-coding RNA is filed under the name Sus scrofa (pig). Its description in RNAcentral is "lncRNA (ENSSSCG00065025657.1)". The record is from RNAcentral. Lineage: Eukaryota; Metazoa; Chordata; Mammalia; Artiodactyla; Suidae.
AUGCAAUGUCAUGGAAGGCAAGCACAGGAAAUGAUUCCAGAGCAGACCUCAUCAACUGUGCCAAAAGUGCAGAACCCUGCCUGUGUUGACCCUCAUCUACCCUUGACCUCGUUACACUCAGAAGGAGUAAGGAGAAAAAGCAAACUUGCAAUAUGUGAGUAUUGGUGCUGGGGAGAUAUUGGAUCAGACUUGUGUUUCAAUGUUUUUUUCUGCUACACCCCUUGCAACCUCAAUGAGGAGGUUUGGAUGGAACCUAUAUUCCUCACAGUCUAGGUGGAUUUUUGUCCCUAGGGAAGUAAGACAAAUAGUACUGAAAAUACUUGUGAUGUGAUGAUCAUAAAAGCAUUUUGAAAAUGACCCCCCAAAAAAGCCAUUUGAAAAUCUCAAAAAUUACCAUUAUAUAAGGAAAAACUAUAUAAACAUGGAUAGCUUUUUUUUUUUAACAGCUUUUAUUUUUCCUCCAGACUUUCACCCCAUGGAUACUAUUAAUAAGUUGAGAAGGCAUAUAUUACUAAAGCAAAAGCAUUAACAGUGGCAAUAACUAUAAAAUCACCACUCACUCACCAACACCACCAUAAUUUAUAGUUGUCAGAACUGGUAAUGGUCUCUCACCACAGGGCAAGACAUAGAUAAGGUACACAGUGGCUGUGUAACAUUCCCAGGGCUCAGAUAAAAUGCUACCCCCUGCUCUGCUGCCCAGGAGAGCACAUCAGAAUACAAAUGAAUAGGAGUAUUAUUGUUAUAAGAAUAUCUGCUCCCAUUUAUUUAUUUUUUAAAGGUAAAUCAUUUAGACUGUGCUCCUUUAUAUAUGAUUGGUGACAAAUUACUUGCCAUAUAUCUCAUAACUGGCAUGUCAAAACAGGACACUGAGAACCAUGGCUGAAGGACUGCUGGAUUCCUGCAUCAUUUUAAAGUCAAAAAUCCAUCAUGGGAGUUCCUGCUGUGGCACAGUAGGUUAAGGAUACUGGGUCGUCUCCGAGGUGGCAUAGGUUCAAUCCCCAACACUUCACAGUGGGUUAAGGAUCCCACACUGUGGCUGCUGUGGCAUAGGUUGUAGCUGUGCUCAGAUUUGAUCCUUGGCCUGGGAACAUUCAUAUGCUGAGAGCACAGCUGGGAAAAAAAAUAUCCAUCAUGGACAAUGUUUGAAUUGGAAUGAAGGCAUUCCCUUGUGAGACAGUCACUGGUGCAACUUGGGUUGCUCCUGUGGCUCAGGUUCGAUCCCUGGCCCACGAACUUCCACAUGACAGAGGCGAGGCCAAAAAAAAAAAAAAAA